UGGGAGACGAGCGAGGAGGGAGGCUGCCUGCCACACUGCCGGAGUGCCUGGCUCACUGGGUGUCGUGUUGGCGGUGGCAGCGAACGGGCGGAGAGGUGAGUGGGGCCACUCCUGGGGGGGCCAUGAAUGUGGCGCCCCCUCAAAAUUUUGUGCCUAGGGUGGCUGCCCCCCUGGCCCUCCCCACGUUACACCUCUGCCUUGCCAACUUCCCCAGUUCUCCUACCAGUGUUGAAACUGCUCUCCAUGAGGCCUCCACUUCUCAGCUUCUUCACACUGGAUCUCUCUCUGCUAGGACUGAAGGAAGACCCUCCUCUUUCAGGCCCAGUGUCCCAAUCUGAAGCCUUGGAGUAGCCUGCCACUCAAAGCUCUUUGAUUCUGAGAGGGAUUAACCCUUAACAGUCCUGCAAAUGUGUAUGUACAGUCCGUCCAGGCUUCUUUAAGACUUGCAGACCAUCACAAAAGCACAUACCCUGGAAAUCUAGUUGGUUUUUAAGGUGCUACUGGAUCUGAAUUUUGCUCUUCACUGACAGAGUUUCUCUGUCUUGCCUCAUGGCCUUCCAAGGGGAAGGAGGUACCUUUUCAGAGUUCCUAUCAUGAGGCCUCAUCUACAUAUCUGCCUGUAGCCUGAUGCUGAACUAGUUGGCUGUGGUAUAAGAAAGCUUAGGAUUCUUUUGUCUUCUACAAGAAAAAUGGUCAAGAAUGGCAUCUGCCUCAAUAAAUGUAUGUUCAGCCUUUUUCUACAAUUUAAUUGCCUGAAGAUUAAUUCCUGCACCUUGAGGAAAACAAUUCUGACUGGGUAGCUCUCUUAGUAAAUGAAAUACAACUAUUUCUAAUAGAGAAAACCUAAUGAAAAACUGCUCUUGCUGCUCAGCAACAAAUGGAGAGGACAAGACAGCCUUGAUCUUCAAAAUAGAAUUGGCAGAAAAUGGAAGCUGCCCACCACACUUUAUGUGUAUAUCUAAGUGUAUUUACUACUCCCUGAGGUUUCAUUCUCCUGAAGAAGUAACAGGGCCAGAGUCUACUUACAAGCCAUGAUGGUGACAGCAAUCAGGGGAAGAAGCAAUGCAGCUUUCACUUCUGGUAUGUUCUGAGUUGUGUCCUAAGUGGCCCACCAAUGUGGUUCUCCAUAACAGGGAAGAGGCAAAAAGGAGGAGUGGAGUUAGGAAGAUAAUCACUAUUUUAUUCAUGCAAUAAUGUAAAAGAUGAUUCAAGUCUACUUGUCCUCUUUGUCAGACGCAAGUAUCCUGGGACACAGAAGGGGAGAACUGAGGGAAGAUGAAUCUAUACAAAAUGUCAUCCUUCCUGACAGCAGAAGUACAAGACUGUUAGAAGAACCCUGCUGGGUCACAGCAGUGGCCAAUCUCAUCCAGCAUUCUGUUUCACACAGUGGCCAACCAGCUGCCCUUAAGGGUCAAUAAACUGGGCAGAGGUCAAGGCCUUUUUGGUGUUGCCUCCCAGCAUUGCUAUCCAGAGGUUUGCUGCUUCUGUAUACAGAGGCUCCUUUCAGUCACCAUGGCUGGUAACCAUUGAUGGACUUCUUGUUUAUGAAUCUGUAUAACCUCCUUUUAAAGCCACCUAUGCUUGUGGCCAUCAUUACAUCUGCUGCCACUUAAUCCCACAGCUUGUUUAUGUGUUAAGUUAAAACGUAUUUCCUUUUGUCUGUCCUGAAUCUAUUGCCCAUCAACAUUAUUAGGUGCCCCAAGUGCUGGUAUUAUGGGAAAGCAAGAGAAAAAGGCAGGAGCCACAUUCGAUUCUGAACAGUUAAGAUGCAAUAUGUAGUGUGGGAUGGAGUUCAGCCUCCAGAAAUUGGGAGCUCUUGAGGCACCUGACUUCUGAAAGGAAGCACAAGCUGAGGUAUUAUAAAGCCUUCGUCGUGACAGCUAUUGCAGGUAAGAAAACCCUCUUAUCCCAUGUGUGGCUGAAAUCAAGCCUUAAGGAGAAUCUGCCAGGGGAAGUUUGUCUGCAGCUGUUAGCACUGAGGCGCAGCUGUACGUCAAGCUGGGACAUCUAACAGCACAGCCCAUAUGGCUGUGGAAAAGCCAUGUCAGAAGUCUGAAAGAUGUAAAUGUGCCUUUUUGAAUGACCUUCCCAGUUAAGGAGCAAGUCCAAUGUCAAAAGGUUGCAUAAGAGAGUUCAAACAGUGCAAUUAGCAGUUUAGUUGUAUAUAUUAUUGAUCCAGCUGUGCAAAACAUUGGGCUAUUCACAGCAACUUGAACGGAGCAUAAAUUAGAACAUCCACACAGGCUUCGGUCUCUCGCAAAUAAUCAAAUUCCAAAACUAUAAAAAAGCUAUAUGGAACUGCAGUGAAGUUCAACUGGGGAACAGGCCAUCUUUGGGCAAAGGAACAUGUGCUGUACUUAUUCUUAGCUGUGGAUUAUAGUUGAAUCCCAGGAUGGAGAUGGGACUGUUUGCUGUCACAGAAAUCUCUGCUUUAGAAAGUCUAUAAAACUAACCACAUAUUGUACCUGGUUGUUAGCCCAGAAUUCACUUAACAAUAAAGCAUUUCUGGUGUACUUCAAAUAGGGGUUAACAUCUUGGGGAACACGGUAUUUCUAAGCAUAACCAACAUUCUCUUUAGCGGUCCAUCUGAGAUUCAGUAACAAACCCAGUGGCCUGCCAGUUGACCUUAAAGCUGCAGACCUUUAAUAUUAUAUUCCCGCAACAGUAUCCUAGUUGUACAACAGAGCCAGCCAUAACAUUGCGCAUGAGGGUACUAGCAUCCUUGGUAUGAUGCUAUCCUAUUAUUGAGCUUUUCUGAGAUUUCACAGAUGACAACUAUGGAGUAACUAGUUAUCACUACUGGAAUGUGUGACUGGCCUGGCACCAAUUGCCAUCAAUAGUGGUUCCUUCCCAAUUCAGCUGAAUGUCUCUAGGGUCAAAGCAAAAGAUUUGCAAAAAGUAAAUUGUGUGUAUGCACAGCUGCAAUUUGGAUUAGGGCUAUGUGAGAAGAGGAGAUUUAACCAGCCAUGAUAUGUUCUGUUUUGCUUAUCAAAACUGUGCUGUUGUUAGUGGUUUUAAAGAAAAACAGAUGUGUUCUUUAAAAUCUUUAAACCCACAAAUAAGAGUGCCAGAAGCCCAAUUUAAUUUGCAAGCUGAAGCAGGCUUUGAAGGGUUAACUCUCCCUCUUCCUUUGCUGUACACAUCUGAUUCAAAUUGUACUUGCGUGUGUGCACACAACUUACUUCUUAACUGACUGAUAGAUCUCUGACACACCUUAUUUUGGCCCAGGAGUUAUAAGAGGCCAUGACUGGAGGCCCAUGUAGAACAGAUUCAACUGUUCUUCCUAACGUGAUACAGCCCCCUCUAGGGUCUGUGCUUGCCUCUGCAUGUGUCAGAUGUGUGUAUGGACUACUACUUAUUUGAAAGUACUCCCAUAUCAAAAUGUGCUUGGAUGUGUCAAGUCUACACACUACAGAGAUGCCAUGGAUGAUGCCGAAAGUGAGAUUGGUUUCUCUUAAUAUAAUGUUCCAUGUUUAGAACCUUGAGCCAGAUCUAUUUCCUCAGGUAGGAAGUCUGUAAUAAGGGGUACUUUUGGAAAAUGAAAUCCUGCCCUGAAGUCCUAGUUGGCAAUACCUGGUGGGGAUUUCAUGGCAAGCAACUAACAGAGCUGGUUUGCCUGUGUCUACAACCCUGGUCUUUGUUGGAGGUCUCCCAUCCAAUUAUUAACCAAGGCCAACCCUGCUUAGUUUCUGAGGUCUGAUGAGCUUGGGCCCUCCUGGUCAGGACAAGUCUCACUUCUGAGGUGGUAUAGGCUUAUGUGUGUCUGUACCAUGUGCCUUCCCUUAAAAUUUGAACUGUACUUAGUAUAUGGUCAUUGAUCCUAAAUCUUUUUUUCAUUAGUGUCCUCAUCUUCUCCCGCUCCAAGCAGAACUGACCCAGCCUCAGCAGCAGUUGGUACGGAAGAGGCUCAAAUUCAUGCUUAACAAGGCCUCAAGACAAAAUGUUAAACAUGCCGGUAGCACCAGAGGAGCACAGCUGCUGUCCUGGAGAAGCAUUUGGCUCUUACCUUGGAACUGGCUGACCUGCUGCACAGGGUAUCAGGAAGAAAGCCUGGGGGCACAAGACCCCAGCAACUCUACAAGGAGCCAGGCAAAGAACUUGAUUCAAAACGUCUUCCUCAGGAGUCGCAACACAGAUAACCCCUGAAAAUAAUAAAUCACCACCAUGAAGCUCUUUGGUGGAAAAGCAAGCACCUCCAAAGGUGUGGUCGCUGGCAGAGGAAGCCCGACUGAUUGUAUUACUAUGGUACUGUAGCAUGUUGCACUUUAAUUGACUAUACAUUUGUUGUUACUUUUUCAAUAACACUUUAUACUAAUUUUUCA
Molecule: long non-coding RNA, 4322 nt
Organism: Eublepharis macularius
Lineage: Eukaryota; Metazoa; Chordata; Lepidosauria; Squamata; Eublepharidae
Exons: 3
Source: RefSeq, a predicted model, not a curated record